UGGAAAGCUAAUUUCUCUGAAAAAAUGCACAGACCUUAAGAGAAAUUUGCAGAGUCUUUCCUAGAAGUUACAUAAAACUCUGAAAUUGGAUCAGGCCAGUUGGGGAGUAUUAUGAUAGGCGCUAGAAUAGUGAAAUUCGACCAAAGUUUGGAAAAGAAAGGACUGAAGAGAAGCGGUCAUCUUCUUUCUCCCUUCUCCCUUCCUGUGGUUGAUUGCAAAAAUGGCUGCAAUACUUUGCAGCUCCUUCCAGCAAGAAGUGGAGUCUAUUUCCCCACCCCCAAGAUCAGUUGAUUCAAGCAAUAGGGAAACAAGUUAAAUGACACCAGGUGAAAGCAACCAGACAAACCCAGAAGGUGGACCAAUCUGUAGGACAACUGGACUGGUCUUUUUAAAAAGACACUAACAUAAAAGGCAGACUGUGCUAGCCUUUCAAGUAUAUGUCAGAAUACCCUAAGAGCCUUUGAGAGCCUGUGUUCCAGGUCAGGAGUCAGAGAUGGAGGUUACAGAGACAUGGAAGAACUCAG
Molecule: long non-coding RNA, 524 nt
Filed under: Pan troglodytes (chimpanzee)
Lineage: Eukaryota; Metazoa; Chordata; Mammalia; Primates; Hominidae
Description: long non-coding RNA NONPTRT011115
Source: RNAcentral